Hippocampus zosterae (dwarf seahorse) is the source of this 675-nucleotide long non-coding RNA. RefSeq lists it as uncharacterized. The record is from RefSeq and is a predicted model, not a curated record. The transcript has 2 exons. Lineage: Eukaryota; Metazoa; Chordata; Actinopteri; Syngnathiformes; Syngnathidae.
AAGGAAGUAUUUUGACUUACUCCCACGUUCCCCCCCAAAAAACACAUGCAUGGCAGGCUGAUUGGACGCUGUAAAUUGUCCCGAGGUGUGGGCGUGGAUGGUUGUUUUUUUUUUUUGUUGCUGAUGCGCAGAUGCACAUACGUGGGAGAAAAAGGAAGGGCACAUUUGGGACGCUUGCAUUGAAAGGAGUCGACGAGACGAUAUGGUCUUGAAAGACGGAGUUCUCGCAUCCCAAAAUCCCCCCGGGAGGCCGAGGCACCAUCGUUCCGGACUGCCUGCGCGCUUACGUCACACAAAAGAUAAACGAUUCGCUCGGAGGGCGUGUUGUCCCCCCUUGAGACCAUGCGAUUAGGGCAAAUUGAAGAACACCAAAUACCUACUUGCACAGUGGCUGGUCAACAUUUGGGGUUGGGGGCUUAAACGCAAGGAGUCACGCUAUUACCGACCUCACGUGAUAUAAUAUUCCUGCUGAAUUGGCCAGCUUUGUUCCAAACAAGAAACAAAUUGACAAGAGCUUCUUGGAUAAAAAAAAACACUUUAUUCUUUCUGUUACGUCUUUAAAGUGCAGUCUUGAGAUGUUGAGACUUCUUGACAAAGGAGCGACUGACACAAGAAACCAAAACACCCCCCCCCCUAAAAAAAAACUCUAGUUUUGAGCAAGAGAAAACAUUAUUA